UCUCUCAGUGGAGGAAGGCAGGAAUGUCAGGCCUCUGAGCCCAGGCCAGGCCAUCGCAUCCCCUGUGACUUGCACGUAUACAUCCAGAUGGCCUGAAGUAACUGAAGAUCCACAAAAGAAGUAAAAACAGCCUUAACUGAUGACAUUCCACCAUUGUGAUUUGUUCCUGCUCCACCCUAACUGAUCAAUGUACUUUGUAAUCUCCCCCACCCUUAAGAAGGUACUUUGUAGUCUCCCCCACCCUUAAGAAGGUACUUUGUAGUCUCCCCCACCCUUAAGAAGGUUCUUUGUAAUUCUCCCCACCCUUGAGAAUGUACUUUGUGAGAUCCACCCCUGCCCACCAGAGAA
This 348-nucleotide long non-coding RNA is filed under the name Homo sapiens (human). RNAcentral's name for it is "HSALNT0348377". The record is from RNAcentral. Lineage: Eukaryota; Metazoa; Chordata; Mammalia; Primates; Hominidae.